Onychomys torridus (southern grasshopper mouse) is the source of this 732-nucleotide long non-coding RNA. RefSeq lists it as uncharacterized. The transcript is spliced from 6 exons. The record is from RefSeq and is a predicted model, not a curated record. NCBI's taxonomy places the organism in Eukaryota, Metazoa, Chordata, Mammalia, Rodentia, Cricetidae.
UCUACACCUGCGUGCGCGUGCGCGGCUGGCAGCCAUUGCUGGCGGGUCCUCGCUCGUCUUCGCUUCUGCGCUCACGUCUUCUGCAUCGACCGCCAUCAGGGACCAGGGGCCAUGCCGGGCUAUUCUGAGGCCAGGUGGACAUCGAAACCGGGUGGAUGGACCCACAGCGUGGAAGGGCUGACCAAACUCUUCUGGAAGAUGUCCUGCCUCGAAAAUACAUCUUGAAAAGAGUAAGGAAGAAAAGACCAUUUUGUUUGUUUAGGGUCAGUACAAACUAUUAAACCCUUAAAACAGUUACAAAAUGCGCCGCAUGAGAAGCCAGAGUUUGGUCUCCAGCACUCAAAUAACACUCCAGAUGUGUCUAGGAAACCCACGGUGUCGGAGCUGGAAGAGAUCUAAGAUGGCACAUGAGUAGUUAUCAGGCUGCUUCGUGGAAUUUGUGACAGGAUGAGGAAACAGACUUAAGAAAGCCAUCUUGGAUGAGGUUUGAAGCCUGCUGUUUGCCUCCCUCUGAAAGGAGUCAGUCGUUCUGGUUCUUGGCCAAAGUUGCUGUGUGUCAGGACAGUGCUGUGUGUGUGGUGAAGUCGUCCCAGACUCCUUCAGUUUUUCAAUAAAGAAUCUGGCUGUGCCUAAGGUUAUUCUGACAUCUGAAUGUAAUAAUCCAUGGAUAUUGGAGGCAAGAAGAUUAUGAGUUCAAGGCCAGCCUGGGCUACAAGAGGCCCAGUUUCCAAA